Molecule: long non-coding RNA, 375 nt
Filed under: Solanum tuberosum (potato)
Lineage: Eukaryota; Viridiplantae; Streptophyta; Magnoliopsida; Solanales; Solanaceae
Description: long non-coding RNA (STUB_LNC000973)
Source: RNAcentral
AAUCUAUUUUAUUGCUAAUUAAAAUAGUUUAUUUUAAUGUAGGUUUGCAAAAUUGCUCUCUGAUAAGAAGAAACUCCGAGCAAACAAAGCGUCUUUUUAAUUCAAGGUCUCGAGUUGUGUUAGUAACCUUACUAUGCUAAAUAAUAAGCGCUUGCAAUAUUUAUGAUUGCGCGCAUUUAAGUAUUUCAACCUCAAAAAUAAAGGAGGAGUUUGAGGGAUAAAUUUCAAUAGAAAUGUCUCUCUAUGUAAUGUAUGUUUGGAUUAUGUAACCUUUUGGUUGUGUUAAAUGUUUAAAUAAAUUAUCGUAAUUUUGUGUUUUGGCAUUUGAAUCUUUUUUUCUAAGCAAAAAGAAAAGAAAUAAAAAUUUGAAGUGCC